UAGGGAAUCUUCGGCAAUGGACGAAAGUCUGACCGAGCAACGCCGCGUGAGUGAAGAAGGUUUUCGGAUCGUAAAACUCUGUUGUUAGAGAAGAACAAGGACGUUAGUAACUGAACGUCCCCUGACGGUAUCUAAUCAGAAAGCCACGGCUAACUACGUGCCAGCAGCCGCGGUAAUACGUAGGUGGCAAGCGUUGUCCGGAUUUAUUGGGCGUAAAGCGAGCGCAGGCGGUUUCUUAAGUCUGAUGUGAAAGCCCCCGGCUCAACCGGGGAGGGUCAUUGGAAACUGGGAGACUUGGGUGCAGAAGAGGAGAGUGGAAUUCCAUGUGUAGCGGUGAAAUGCGUAGAUAUAUGGAGGAACACCAGUGGCGAAGGCGGCUCUCUGGUCUGUAACUGACGCUGAGGCUCGAAAGCGUGGGGAGCAAACAGG
Molecule: ribosomal RNA, 429 nt
Filed under: Gemmatimonadota bacterium
Lineage: Bacteria; Pseudomonadati; Gemmatimonadota
Description: Gemmatimonadetes bacterium partial 16S ribosomal RNA
Rfam family: Bacterial small subunit ribosomal RNA
Source: RNAcentral